AAAGAGAUGGCUGAGGGGUUGAUAGCCCUGGUCUUGAAAACUAGUAUAUGUUUGAACAAAGAACUAUUGAGGGUUCGAAUCCCUCUCUCUCCU
Capsicum annuum is the source of this 93-nucleotide non-coding RNA. The record is from Rfam. NCBI's taxonomy places the organism in Eukaryota, Viridiplantae, Streptophyta, Magnoliopsida, Solanales, Solanaceae.